AGCCACGGCUGGCUGGCUGGCUUCCUUCCUUCCUUCCUUCCUUCCUUCCUUCCCUCACUCACUCACCACAGUCGCCUGCAGCUCCCGCCGCGUACUGUUCCCCGCUCCAGUCAGCCGCCAGGAGCUCCGAACAGCCUCUACUCCCCUGGCCUUGCUGACGGUGCGCCUCCUGCCUAAGCAAGGACAACGUCGGGAACCGCUCAGUCAGGGCGAACACCGGCUGAGUUACCGCCACCAGCCGUAGAAGUGCUAAGAGCAUCCCCGAGGGUGCAGCGAUACUUGGCCAACGACACCAAGAGACAGCGGCGGCUGCCAUCUUUCUAGAGCGCCGGUGCAGCAGUGUCACUUAACUUUUCGCGUUUCCCUCUUUCCCAGCGGGUCCCGGCGAGAAAUGGGUGAACGAAUUGCUUUCUGGGAAUGGUAGUUCCAAGCUUCCAGUCUAUACUGUGCAACUUGUGACUCAUAAACUACGAACGCCAAGAAGCUCUGCGGUUUCUCCUUCCCCCGUCUGGGCUUGCGGAACUCGGAAGCGAAAGAGAACAAGAAGAGGGGACGGCUGUUUCUGUGGCAACGGAACCUUGCGGCCUCGCUUUACUGGAGGAGAUGGAAGAUACUGGAGUUUAUAGGUGCAUUGAGUGCCAUAGAAAGGCUUCUGAGUUAUACAAGGACUAUCAGCGUGGCGUGUUGCGUAUUUCUUUAUGUGAAGCUUGUCAGAAACCAGUGGACAAGUAUAUAGAAUAUGAUCCUGUUAUCAUCUUAAUUAAUGCUAUCUUAUGCAAAGCACAAGCUUACAGACAUAUACUGUUCAAUACAAAAAUAAAUAUUCAUGGGAAGCUUUGCAUAUUCUGUUUACUUUGUGAAGCUUAUCUCAGAUGGUUGCAGCUACAGGAUUCAAGCCAAAGCACUGAUCCUGAUGAUUUAAUUAGAUAUGCCAAAGAAUGGGAUUUUUAUCGAAUGUUUGGGAUAGCAUCUCUGGAACAAACUGCCUUUUUGAUUGGCAUCUUCAGUGCUUUGUGGUUAGCAAGACCUGUACUCCUGAAAACCAAGGCAGAUUUCACCCUCCUUCUGAAAGCAUUGCUGCUAUCCAGCUAUGGAAAACUUCUGUUGAUUCCAGCUGUUAUUUGGGAACAUGACUAUACUCAUUUGUGCCUUUUGCUCAUAAAAGUGUUUGUCUUGACAUCAAACCUUCAAGCAGUUAGAGUUACCUUGAAUACAAGCCGAAAACUUUGUCUGGUGGCCAUUGUGAGUGGAUUAAUUUUGGAAAAUGCUGUCAUCUACUUGUUCCAGAGGAUAGGAUGGAAUGUUUGAGACAAUCUUGACUUAUUUUUUUAAUAGUGGAAUUGCUUGAAGAUGUCAAGAAAAGAAUGCUUUUUGAGUCAAUCCGCCAUGGUUUACAACCUGUUAGAAAUACAGUGGUAAAGAAAUAACAAAUAUAAAUAAAGCUUUCCAUACUGAACAAGAGACAGUAAUUUGAAGAGAGUCUGACACCAACACAGGAAAUUUAGUUUAAGAAGAUGGAAAGUCCACAAUUGGAGAAAUAUUUUGAAGAACCAUUCAUAAUGAAGCAUCUUACCCCUUCAAUUUAUAAAAACAACAAUCUGGGAUAGCGUACCUGUCCUAUGUCACAUUUGGUUUUGCACUCCAAAAUGAUUGAGAAGGAACAGUGUGUGAAGGAGGCUUUCUAGGUCACUGAGGAAUUUGACAGUCAUCUGAUCAUCUUGAUAGUUGUUUUCAGGUUUACGAUAUAUGGAAUGUCAGAUUACAGAAAAGUGACAAGGUAGCUGCAGAAAAAUCCAGUACACCUGUAGUGUAGAACAGUCUCUAAGUCCUACUUUAGAGAGAUAAAGAUACUUUCAUAUUUCUCAGGAUGAGCAUCAUAUUCACCCAACAUGGGAGAAUUGAGAGCUGUAUAAACAGUUAUCAGAAGCUAAGUGUAUUUGGGAUGUGGAAGAAUACUUCCUUCUGUCUCGUUUUGGGCAAUACCAUAUUUCUUAGGGCAGUAGUAACAGAACUUAUCUGGAACAGAUACUUUUGGAAACUAUUAACUGCUAGUUUGGGAAACAGUUUCUCCUUUGAAAGCCAAUUCUGUUCCAUAGAAAUGUUUUCAUAGAAGCUGAGACAUCUCAGUUUUAUUUAUACUUAAUUAUAGUAAACAGUUUUAUCAAAUGACUUUCUUACUAAUGCUUCAUUAUUAGUAAGUGGGGGGUUCAAAGUUUUGUCUGAGAAGGUUCAGAUGCAGGAUAUAAAGAUGGUAAAGAUGAAUUUUUGUGAUCAGCCAGAAGCCCUCUGAUAUAUUGAGUAAAUCUUGAAUUGAACCUGCUGAUCGAGUGAUAAAGGUAUAUGUAUUUGUGAUGCCAAAAAUUGCAGUACUGUGUGGCAUCUAUGUUGAUGAUUAAUAUUCAUACUUGCUUAUCCUUUUUUUGUUACAUUUCUAUACUGCUUUUAAUUUCAAAGAAUAUUUUAUUUAGAGAAUGUAUAUAUACCACAUUUCACUUCUAUUAUGAAUUAUUAAAUUAUUACAUAUAAAAUGGAGAGCCAGUGUGGUGUAGUGGUUAGAGUGUUGGACUUCGACCUAGGAGACCAGGGUUUGAAUCCGCACACAGCCAUGAAGCUCACUGGGUGACCUUGGGCCAGUCACUGCCUCUCAGCCUCAGAGGAAGGCAAUGGUAAACCACCUCUGAAUACCACUCACCAUGAGAACCCUAUUCAUAGGGUUGUCAUAUGUUGGGGUUGACUUGAAGGCAGUCCAUUUCCAUUUUCACAUAUAAUACAAUAAAAUCCAUAAUUAUUAAAGCCAAAUUAGAACAGCAGAAGAAGAAAAAAACAAAAAUCAAUACCAGAACAGCAAAAAUGGUCACAGGCAGGUUAAUUGUAGGUUUGUCCCGCUGUAGUGUUGCUGUCCAGAGCAACCAUUCUUUAUCGUGCUUUAAGACACCACUGAGCUAAAGCCGAAAUCUGCCUGUUCCUAUAUCUAGAGUGGCACAGGGAUCUUCUUCCCACUAAGCUAAAGGAAGUUUCUUGUGGAUGGAAUACCCAUAGCUCAUACUACAGUAACGUGUGUCCAUAUUAUCCAUAUGCUGCUAUUUAUAGCCUGUGCCAAUGGAUAUGCCAUCUUCCCAACCUCCCAUUGCCUUUCCAUCCUCAGUAGCUUCAAGGAGACACUUCAGGCAACCCCAUGCUGGGCUGGAAGCUUUCCAUGACCCACACCUGUAAGAUAUCAAAACAGAAUACAUAAAUGAACAGACAGCACUAUUUUUUAAAAAAGAAAUGAAACAAAAACUCUGAUAAUAACAAAGCCAUGUAAAAGCAAACAAAGAUCCAAAUCAGUCAGCUUUUGUUAGGAUCCACGAACUGUUUGGUAUCCCCCAAGGAACUUGUGAUGACCCAGUGUAAUCCUUACCUUUCUGAUAUGGUAACUUUGUGAUAUGAUGUGCUGUUCAAACUGCUUUUGAAGCUUUGUUCAGUUUCAGAAGCUGUCUCUCAAUGGCAUGGGGGUAGAGAGCUUUGCUGUAUAAGCAGAGGGAGGGGAGUUAAAAGCCACUAUCUUGAAACAAUUCCCUCUACAUAGAAAAGUAGAUGUCAAAGAGAAGGUUAUACUCUAGCCUUCUUUCUGACUUGCUAGAUUUCUGGGCAUAGGAAAUAUGUGUGCAGGAGCAUUCAAUCACAUAAACCCCCCAUUUGAAUUGGCACUGCUACCACAGAAGCUAUAUGUUAAGUGAAUGACAAAAAACUAGGCCCCUACAGCCCAAUCCUACCCAAGUUUACACUGAAGUCACACUUCAGUUGACCUUAUUUCAAGUAUGUGUACAUAUAACUGCAGUGUAAAGUGCAGCGUAAAUUGCACAGGAAGCACAACAAUGUCUAGGAAUCAGUUUGCUGAAAUUUUUUCAGUACACCAUUCUUAGGGUGAUUUUGUGACCAAAUUUCUUACAGCAAAGGCAGAACAUCACUAUUGGCAUAAAACAGCUUAUUAUUCCCCACCAUCCACCCUUUAGACUCUUCAGCCUACUUUAAAAUAUGGAGCUCAUAUGCUUUCUUCCAGCUUCUUUUUUCUAUAUCAUAGCUCAUGCAAUAAAAGGCCAAUCACUUGCACUGUAUAGAAUAGCUGGUCCGAUCACUUGCACUGUAUUUCAACUUGGAAAGUUAGCUUUUUUAUCUUUCUAGAAUUUCAAGUAUAUUAAACUUAAAUUCUUUUAAUAUAUCCUAAAAUGUCCUAUUUAAUUUUAUUUACUAGUCCAGCAAAGUUUUACUGGAUUAAUUUUAAAUCUUCAACUGAAGUUUUAUUAAGUACAUUUUAAACCAAAAGCUUGGUAAGUGCCCAGGAUGAAUGAAUAUCAAGAAAAAGAGCCAUAGAAGCAUUUUUAUUAUUUAUUGUUUUGCUUCUUUUGGAAUCUUAUUGGUCUGCUAUGUACAGCUAUUCUGGCUUUCCCUUGUUCAAAAGGAUUCAAAAGGCUCUUGUGUUUAACCAGUCGAAAUAGUUUAAGCAAUAGCUCACACAAUUCAUACAGGCAUAAUUGUUGUUUGUGACAGAGCCUAGCUCUGGCAGUCUAAAAUGAAAUAUUGCACAUUGGCCAACUUUCAACUCCACUAAAUGGUGUCUUUGACCCUUGAGGGUUAGCACUUGUGUGCUUGGCUGAUGGAAUAAAGUUAAAAAAAAUGUGUGUGUGUGAAAUCUUAUCCAAAGUAAACCUCACAGACUUAAAAGUAGGCAUUUUUAUAUGUUGCCAUUUUAAUUGUGAAUGUUAUUAUUUAUUCAUUUAAAACAUUUUUAUAGCACCUUUCAAUUCAAAAGAAUCCAGGGUAGCUUGCAAAAUGUCACAAUGUGAAAAUUUGACUACACAAAAAGAAACCAGAUAGCAUUUAGUGUCAAAACACUUUCUCACGCAAAAACUUUGAGUAAAAUGAAACUUACUUGCAAAUAAGGGGCAAUGCAUUGCAGUUCUUUGUAUGUCUGCUCAAAUAUAAUCCUGCUACACAUACCAGUACAAAAGUAAGACUGGCCUUUCUGAACAAUUCCUACAGGGGUACCUAAUGCUGUUUGUCUUGCUCAUGUAAUUAUAGCACAGAGUGCUUUUUAAGGUUUCUUUUGAUAGAGCUGUGCACCGGAUUUGUACAAAUCACAAACCAAAUGGGCCAAUUUGUGUCCUGUCCAAAUCAAGUUGAAGCAGCUGCAACUUUCUACAGAGUGGAUUGGCUAGUUCCAAAUUGAUUUGUAGGGACUGGUACAGAUCUGUAGCUCAAAACAGUCUCUAAUGAACCUAGACGCAGUGUCUGUGAAAUGGAGCAAUUACAACACUAUGUAAGGAGAACACCACAGUGGGGAGGAAGGCUAGAAUGCUAUCACCCCACCCAAUACACUCCAGUCACAGUGCUUGGAAGGGGUGAGGUCUUAAAAUGCAGAAAUAUUUUGUAAAUUCUGUCUCUUAGAAAUGUUUGGUGGCGGUUGGGUGGCAUUUACUUAGCUUGUGUAUGUUUUCUAUUCUUUUCCAAUAAAUUCACCCAUGUGUAUAUGAAUGAAAGAGGCUAGGAGUCCCUCUUACCAACUUCGGCUGGUAAGACAGCUGCGGCUGUUUCUGGACUGGGAUAUCCUGACCACUGUUGUCCAUGCACAGUAACCUCCAGGCUGGAUUACUGUAAUCCGCUCUAUGUGGGGCUGCCCUUGAGAUUGGUCCGGAAGCUGCAGCUGGUGCAAAAUGUGGCUGCAGGACUGCUCACUGGGGCAGGGUAUUGCCAACAUGUCACCCCGCUGCUGAAAGAAUUGCACUGGCUGCCUAUUUGCUACUGGGCCAAGUUCAAGGUUCUAAUUUUGGUGUGUAAAACCCUGUACAGCUGGGGACCAGGAUACCUGAAAGACAUCCCUUAUACACCCAGUUGAUCACUGCGCUCUGCACGUGAGGACCUCCUGCAGUUACCAUCUUAUCAGGAGGUCUAUGCUGCACAAUGUAGGAAACAGACCUUUAGUGUGGUGGCACCUACCCUGUGGAAUUCCCUCCCCUUAAAUAUUAGACAGGCACCAUCUCUGUUAUCUUUUUGGUGCCUAUUGAAGACCUUUCUCUUUCAACAAGCCUUUGAGACCUUACCCCAGUCUGUGUCUGUGUUGGAAUUGCUUUUUAAUAUGUUUUUAAAUCUGCUUUUUAAAAAAUAUUUUUGUAAUUUUUUAAUAUGUUUUGGAAGCUUUUAAAAAAUGUUUUUAAAGAUGUUUUGUUUUAAUGUAUUUUAAAGUCUGUUUUUACGAUCUUUUAAAGUGUUUUAACUGCUUUUGUUUGCCACCCUGGGCUCCUGCUGGGAGGAAGGGCGGGAUAUAAAUCAAAUAAUAAAUAAAUAAAAGGCUGUGCCAUGUGGCAUGGAGAUUGCUGCUUAAGACACAGACGACCAAACCACCUUUUAGUAAUUCGAUCUUGCUGUCUAGUUGUUUCAAUCCUGAUUAUUGUCUGCUAAGUUACAUCUUCCUCCCCAUUCCCACUGUGCUGAAGUUAGGCAGGUGGCAGCCUUAGAGGGCCUUUCAGCUGUGGUGCAUCCAGUUAUGGAACACUCACUCUAUGAAGGUUUGCCUGGUACCUACUCAGAUCUUUCUUGUACCAGGUAAAUAUUUUUUUAUUUUUGCAGAUCCUUUCAAACAUCAUCUGAGUUGUUUUUAAUUGGCCUUUUGAUUAAUUUUUCCCUUUUGAUUAUGUU
RNA transcript from Rhineura floridana, 6675 nucleotides. It is a transcript of the gene named ARV1 homolog, fatty acid homeostasis modulator, with no coding region annotated. The record is from RefSeq and is a predicted model, not a curated record. NCBI's taxonomy places the organism in Eukaryota, Metazoa, Chordata, Lepidosauria, Squamata, Rhineuridae. The transcript has 6 exons.